UAAUAUACACUCGGCUCCACUCGCAAGGGGCCACUGACUUCCCCUCCUUUAUCCCUGCGUGGCCCUGGCCUGAAGCCAACAAUAAAAAUGACUUGCAUAGAGCUCCAAGGGUGCAAAAGCACUUUGCACGUAGCUCGUACUAGCAGGUGCUAUUAUUAUGCCUAUUUUAAAGAUGAGAAGACUGAGGCGGCGCAGUGUUUCUGAGAUGCGUUCGAAUUCUUGACGGCGCCAUCUAGCGGCCUCGAUAGGUAGCACCGUUAAGUUAGCAUCCUUAAAGGCUCGGCGGAUUCAAGGCUUCCGUCGGUGGAAGCCGCCUCCCUUUCUUUCCUCUCGGUGCCCCUUCUGGGGACACUGCCUUGGGGCGGACAUUGUGCGGUCCGGAACCAAGGGCCGGAAGCGCAGGCCGAGGCAGGGACCGUUUGGGGGCCGCACUCGGGAGCGCCGGAAGUGGAUUCGGAGAACCCGGAUCGCCGCCGAGAGGACUCGGGAUGGAGACGGAAGCGGUUCAGGGUUCCCGAGCAGCAGCAGCAGCAGCAGCAGCAGCAGCCUCUGCGGCCCCCGAGCUCGGCCUGGGAGGGGGCGCCCUGCACUGGGGGGAGCCGAGCGGGGCGCAGCCCCCUCAGGCCCCCCAGAAGCAGGGCCCUGCCCAGGCCGAGGAGGAGGACGAGGAGGAGGUCCAGGAGGACCCCGGCGUCCGGGCCAUGCUGCGCGCCGUGGCCGGCAGCCGCAUCCCCGUGCGCAGCCAGCAGAAGGACGAGCCCGACUUCACCGAGAGGGAGAAGGUGGCCAUCCUGCGCCGCCUCUACCGCGACAAGCCCCUGGUCUUCCUGGAGCGCUUCCGCAGCAGCCUCCGCGAGGAGCACCUGGCCUGCUUCCAGCACCUGCGCGGGGACUACCGGGCCGACUUCUACUGCGCCGAGGUGCUGCGGGGGGCCGCCGCCCGGGGCAGGGCCUCCCGCACCCGCCUGCGUAACCGGCGCUACGCAGCCCUGCAGGAGCUCAUCCGCGGUGGGGAGUACUUCAGCGAUGAGCAGAUGCGGGCCCGGGACCCCCUGCUGUAUGAGCAGUACAUUGGACAGUACCUGAGCGAAGAGGAGCUGGCCGCCCGCUCCCCAAAGCCCCUGGCCCCGGAUGGCUGCCCUCUGGCAGACCUGCUCCUCCAGUCCUACCAGGAGGGGGUGCUCCAGCGAAGGCUGCUGCAGCAACAGGAGGAGGAGGAUGCCUGCCUGGAGGAGGACGAAGAUGAAGAGGAGGAGGAUGAAGAAGAGGAAGAAAAUUGCGGGCCUGGGCAGGAGGAAGAAGCCUGGGUCCCCGAUUCAGAGGAGAAGGUCAUCCUCAGGGAGGAAUUCACCAGCAGGAUGCACCAGCGCUUCCUGGACGGCAAAGACGGAGACUUUGAUUACAGUAAGGUGGACGACAACCCGGAGUUUGACAACUUGGACAUUGUGACUCGGGACGAGGAGGAGCGCUACUUCGAUGAAGAGGAGCCGGGGGAGGCGGAGCCAGAUGAGGAGGACUAGCUAGAACCCGGACCCAAACUGGUCCCCCGGGCGGUGGCCGCCGGACCCCAGCAGGGGGCGCCCCCUGCCAGGCGCAGACAUCCCCCACCCGGAACAUGACUGAUGAGGAAGCGCAGCCUCCGGUGCUUUGUGGGGGGGGCCCAGGGCAGCGCCCCCUCCCCGGGAUCCCUCCGCCUCUCGGUGCGCGACCUCCGACCUCUGCUAACGCCCCGUCCCCAUCCUGCCUCUCCCCGAGGCUCCUCCCCCUUCCGGGCCCCGAGCGGCUCGGGAUUCGGCCGCCCCCGGGCCCCGUCUUGGUCAAGGUCGCUCAGAACAGGACUGGCCUGAGGACCGGCGCUUGCUCGGAGAGGCCGCCCCGGCUCCCCUCGCGUCCCCAACCACAGCCGCAACUUUCCCUUCCUUCACUUCCUCCUGCCCUGUUUACACUCUCCAAAUACUUGCAGCCUGUUAUCAUGGGCCCUGAGUCAUCCUUUGCCUUUCCCCUCCCCUCCCCCGGAGGGCCUUCCCACCCCUUCAGCCCAGCCCCGGGGCCCGUCUGGGUGGGGGGCGCAGAUGGCAAGCUGGCGGUGCCUAACGGGAGCCAGAUGACCCUGGUGACUCAGCCGGCUGUGUGGGAACCCAGGCGUCCUGCCUUCCCAGGCCCCCGGCUCCCCUCCCCCAAAGGAAAAGACGGCUCCGAUUCUCCCUCCGGCCUCCCCCAAACCCUUGGCUUGGUCGGCCCCGGCGCUCCCGAGAUAGCCGAAGCCAUGGGAAAGAGACCACCUAGGUGCCUUGCCCCCGCUUUCUCCCCUUCCAGUGGGGCUUUCCUACUGAGUCACGGGGGGAAGUGGGGUGAGUAAGGACUGGGGAGACGGGCCCCACCCCUCCCCUUCUGCCUGCCGGGGCCCAGGGGACCAAGGGAUGAGGGCCCACGCUCGGGAGGCCCUGCUCCAGUGGAAGCCCAGGGUCCAGGUCCCGAGAGCCAAAGGGGGACACUGAGGCUCAGAGAGCCCAAGCCAGGCUCAGACUAGUGGCAGAGAAAGCCGGGGCACAGGCGCGGGGACUGAGGGGGGAGGGCCCCGGCUCGGUGUGAACCCCGGGGAUGGGCAGCUGGACCUCCCUGCAUUUCCCCUGGGGAAAUGGGCCGGCUCCGGACCGUUGGGCUUCUGCGAUCCCCUCGUACCCGGUGGCUCCAACCUCCCACCCCGACCCCGGGGCCGGGCCCGGUGAUUCCCGGCAGAGGAUGACUGAUGUCCCACGGGGGGCCGGGGGUCGGGGGUCGGUCAGUCUGUCUGUGUCUCCCCGUGGGGGUUACGGGAGUGAGUCUGCGUCUGCGUCUGCGUCUGCGUGCUGGGCCGGGCCCUGUCUCGCCCACGGCCCUGGAGUCAGAGAAAAUAUUUGUGUUCCGGGCUGCCCCCUGCCGCCCCCUCAGGGACCCAGGCAUCCCAGCCGCGGGGCUCUGCCUCUCCCCUCCCAAGCCGGGAGAAAGGAGCCGGGGAGAGGCAGCGGCGGCGCCCGGCCCCCCUGCCCAGGAUCCCCUCCCCAGGGUAUGCGCCGUGUAAACACAGCAGGCCCGGGGAUAUUUAUACAGUGGGCUGGGCUUGGUGCCAACGCCCACCGCAGCCCCUGCCCGCGGGCGCCCGCCUGCCACCGUGGCAGCAGAGAGGCCCCAGGGAAGGGGGAAGGAGGGGUGGGCACACAAACGCACACCCCAAGCCACAGACAACACAAAACACACCAGCUGGAGGGAAAACACCCAGGCUCCAAGACACAAACACGCCCACUCAGAUGUGAAUGUGCACAGACUCGGCCGGGCCGCCCUGACCCCCCUCGAGCCUCUCACACGCGCUGGCCCGGGGAAGGAGCCGGGCCGGGAGGGGGCAGGGACAAGCCCUUGUUUAAGACCGGGAGCAGAGACAGGAAGGGUCCCUACCGCCCUCAGUUUCCUGCCCCUGUGGGGGCCGGACAGGAAGCCUCGCCGGAACCCAGCCGUACCCCCCUUCACUUCCCUCCGGCCCCAGCCUCAGGGGAGGGACUCGGGCCUUUGGGGGAGCAGCCACCUCUCCAGCACCUCCUCCUCUCCCCCUCCCCCACCCGCAGCCGCCAGCAGCUUCGGGCAUGGGGCAGACGUGCCCCGACUUAGCCUGACCACCCAGCCGGGGGCCCCUGGCAGGCACGAGCCGGGCGUAGGGCAGGGCCCCGGGUGCGAGAUGGGGAGGGAGGAGGGGCUCUGGAGAUGCCAGGGUGGCACACAGAGGGGUGGGGCUUCCCCCCACCCACCACCUCUCCCGAAAGGGGAAGGUGCUUAGCUGCAGUUUCUCGGCCAGGCUGGGCAGGGCGGGCACCCCCGAGGCCCAGCCCCCUCCUCUUGCCAGCUCACUGGGCAUCCCUGGCCCGAGAACUCGAGCCCGGGGGCAGAGGGAGGGGCUCAGAGGAGGAAAGAGGCAUCGGCCCGGGCUGUGUGCGCACACAUGCACACUCCGAGGAGCCUCCAUGUUGCCGCGGUGACCCCGGUUCGGCGGCCCUUCCGCGGUGGGGAAACGGCUGCCCCUGUGGCACAGCUGCGGCUGCUUCUCGCAGGGGGCUCUUCGCGGCUCUUGGGUCUGCCAGUGCCCCUGCCUGACCAGUGAUGCCCCCGAGGCCCGAGGAAACCCCAGCCCCCGACGCUGCUACCCACCGGCCCCUCAGAAGUAGCUGCGGGAAGGAGGAGGAGCCUGGGCCUGGGCCUCGGCCUCAAUGGGGGAUCCCUCAGCCCCAGACUGGGGAGCAAGGAGCAGGGUUAACCCGUGGGGGGGUCGGGCACUGAGAUGGGCACCACAGACCGGGGAAAGAUGCCAGAGAAUGCCAGAGGCCGAGGAGGCCGAGAUGUGUCGGGAGAGGCUCUUUAGGGAUGGAAGGAGCCCAGGAUAAGGAAGGCAGACAAUGGGCGGCCCCCCCUCA
This is a long non-coding RNA of Sarcophilus harrisii (Tasmanian devil), 4439 nucleotides long. Lineage: Eukaryota; Metazoa; Chordata; Mammalia; Dasyuromorphia; Dasyuridae. The record is from Ensembl.